Scylla paramamosain (green mud crab) is the source of this 1017-nucleotide long non-coding RNA. RefSeq lists it as uncharacterized. The record is from RefSeq and is a predicted model, not a curated record. NCBI's taxonomy places the organism in Eukaryota, Metazoa, Arthropoda, Malacostraca, Decapoda, Portunidae. The transcript is spliced from 3 exons.
UUCCUUGCAGAUGAAAAAUAACAAGAAACUGAUCAAAUUAGAAGACGCUGAGGCAAAGAAAAAAAUGGAGGAAAACCUGGAGAAGUGGAGUGAUGGAGGUGUGCUUCUUCGCGUCGCAGAAUAAGGUCCUGAAUACGACGCCAGGGGAGAAGCUGAACUUUCCCUCGCUGAACGUGGUGACCAAACCCUCAACCAACAGCAAGUCAGCUCCCACACAGGCAAACGUUCCUACAGCACGGCACGGAAUAAUGUCACUGAUGCCACCGUGCCGUGCUAUGCGUACUCGUACCUGCAGCCAAACGGGGAAGUCUGAUCCGAGUGUGACAAAGAGAGUAGGAAGAGUGAGAGGUAAAAGGGAAAUGGGAAUGUAUAUAAGAGAGAGAGAGAGAGAGAGAGAGAGAGAGAGAGAGAGAGAGAGAGAGAGAGAGAGAGAGAGAGAGAGAGAGAGAGAGAGAGAGAGAGAGAGAGAGAGAGGAAGUAACAGAUUGAAAAAUGAAAAUAAAGGGAUACGAGAUUAUACAGGAAGGAAAGAAGGAACUACAGGUGAUAGGUGGAAUAAAUUAAGGUAUUGAAGAAAAUGUUAAUAAUGUGAAUAAUAAAAAUAAUAUAGGUAAGUAUAUCAAGAAAUAGGAAUAACGUAUAAAAGGUAUAAAUGUAUGUUUUUUUUUUCUGUUGAACGUAUAAAAAUCUAUAUACUGCAUCACUUUUAUUGGAAUACAUAUUAAUUUAUCUGCGUAUUUAAGUGUGUGUGUGUGUAUAUGUGUGUGUGUGUGUGUGUGUGUGUGUGUGUGUGUGUGUGUGUGUGUGCAGAAGGAUGUUUACGCAUUUUUUUCAUAUUUCAUGGCACACAAACACGUAAGUUUUUACAUAUUUAUUUUCCAUAUCUAUCGUGCAGCCUUUGUGUUUGAUUUAUAUUGACGUACACUAUUUUUUUAGUACCCGUUUUUCAGAGGUCGCAAUAUCUGAAGGUUUCGCGCCAUUAUAACAGUCGGAAAAAUAAUAAAAAAUAAAGCCCAC